GUGGGGAAUAUUGGACAAUGGGCGAAAGCCUGAUCCAGCCAUGCCGCGUGUGUGAAGAAGGUCUUCGGAUUGUAAAGCACUUUAAGUUGGGAGGAAGGGCAGUAAGUUAAUACCUUGCUGUUUUGACGUUACCGACAGAAUAAGCACCGGCUAACUUCGUGCCAGCAGCCGCGGUAAUACGAAGGGUGCAAGCGUUAAUCGGAAUUACUGGGCGUAAAGCGCGCGUAGGUGGUUUUGUAAGUUGGAGGUGAAAUCCCCGGGCUCAACCUGGGAACUACCUCCAAAACUGCAUGACUAGAGUACGGUAGAGGGUAGUGGAAUUUCCUGUGUAGCGGUGAAAUGCGUAGAUAUAGGAAGGAACACCAGUGGCGAAGGCGACUACCUGGACUGAUACUGACACUGAGGUGCGAAAGCGUGGGGAGCAAACAGGAUUAGAUACCCGUGUAGUCC
Molecule: ribosomal RNA, 450 nt
Filed under: uncultured bacterium
Lineage: Bacteria
Description: partial 16S ribosomal RNA
Rfam family: Bacterial small subunit ribosomal RNA
Source: RNAcentral